CUACGGGCUGCUCCAGUGGGGAAUAUUGCACAAUGGGCGCAAGCCUGAUGCAGCAACGCCGCGUGAGGGAUGAAGGCCUUCGGGUUGUAAACCUCUUUUAGCAGGGAAGAAGCGAAAGUGACGGUACCUGCAGAAAAAGCACCGGCUAACUACGUGCCAGCAGCCGCGGUAAUACGUAGGGUGCAAGCGUUGUCCGGAAUUAUUGGGCGUAAAGAGCUCGUAGGCGGUUUGUCACGUCUGCUGUGAAAAUCCAAGGCUCAACCUUGGACUUGCAGUGGGUACGGGCAGGCUAGAGUGCGGUAGGGGAGAUGGGAAUUCCUGGUGUAGCGGUGGAAUGCGCAGAUAUCAGGAGGAACACCAAUGGCGAAGGCACAUCUCUGGGCCGUAACUGACGCUGAGGAGCGAAAGCGUGGGGAGCAAACAGGAUUAGAUACCCCAGUAGUC
This 444-nucleotide ribosomal RNA is filed under the name uncultured bacterium. RNAcentral's name for it is "partial 16S ribosomal RNA". It matches the Rfam family "Bacterial small subunit ribosomal RNA", at positions 339 to 795 of the family's 1533-position model. The record is from RNAcentral.